Molecule: transfer RNA, 67 nt
Filed under: Ictidomys tridecemlineatus (thirteen-lined ground squirrel)
Lineage: Eukaryota; Metazoa; Chordata; Mammalia; Rodentia; Sciuridae
Description: Spermophilus tridecemlineatus (thirteen-lined ground squirrel) tRNA
Rfam family: tRNA
About the family: Transfer RNA (tRNA) molecules are approximately 80 nucleotides in length. Their secondary structure includes four short double-helical elements and three loops (D, anti-codon, and T loops).
Source: Rfam by way of RNAcentral
GUGGUUGUGGCUCAGUGGUAGAGUGCUUGCCUCACAUGUGUGACUGGGUUCAAUUCUCAGCACCACA